CCCGCACAAGCGGCGGAGCAUGCGGAUUAAUUCGAUGCAACGCGAAGAACCUUACCAAGGCUUGGCAUACACCGGUAACGCCCAGAGAUGGGUGCCCCUUGUGUCGGUGGACAGGUGGUGCAUGGUUGUCGUCAGCUCGUGUCGUGAGAUGUUGGGUUAAGUCCCGCAACGAGCGCAACCCUCGUCCUAUGUUGCCAGCGGGUCAUGCCGGGGACUCAUGGGAGACUGCCGGGGUCAACUCGGAGGAAGGUGGGAUGACGUCAAAUCAUCAUGCCCCUUAUGUCUUGGGCUUCACGCAUGCUACAAUGGCCGGUACAAAGGGCUGCGAUACCGCGAGGUGGAGCGAAUCCCAGAAAGCCGGUCUCAGUUCGGAUUGGGGUCUGCAACUCGACCCCAUGAAGUCGGAGUCGCUAGUAAUCGCAGAUCAGCAACGCUGCGGUGAAUACGUUCCCGGGCCUU
This 459-nucleotide ribosomal RNA is filed under the name uncultured Cellulomonas sp. RNAcentral's name for it is "bacterial SSU rRNA". It matches the Rfam family "Bacterial small subunit ribosomal RNA", at positions 920 to 1382 of the family's 1533-position model. Lineage: Bacteria; Bacillati; Actinomycetota; Actinomycetes; Micrococcales; Cellulomonadaceae. The record is from RNAcentral.